AAGAUGAUACUCUUAGGGAUCAUUUCUAUAGUAGUUGCCUAGAGAAAUGGGUUCUUGAGUGUCCGGUCUCACAAGCCACGAGGAGGAUUGAGAGUGUUUUCUUCUGAGCAUGAAGUUGGUCUGGAGUGUUGCUUUGUGCAGCUGCUCUUGACCUUUGAUGAUUGUUCUUACUCUUCUUAUGGGGAGUUAGAGGAAGAGAAUGCAUUCUGAGUGGU
This is a small nucleolar RNA of Stegostoma tigrinum, 215 nucleotides long. RefSeq annotates it as small nucleolar RNA U3. The record is from RefSeq and is a predicted model, not a curated record. NCBI's taxonomy places the organism in Eukaryota, Metazoa, Chordata, Chondrichthyes, Orectolobiformes, Stegostomatidae. The transcript has a single exon.